Coturnix japonica (Japanese quail) is the source of this 3215-nucleotide non-coding RNA. The record is from RefSeq and is a predicted model, not a curated record. NCBI's taxonomy places the organism in Eukaryota, Metazoa, Chordata, Aves, Galliformes, Phasianidae.
CUGCCUUCCCCCCCCCCCCCAUCAUAUAAAUUGCUGCUGUACGCUGGAGGAAAGUCGCCUUUAACUGGUACACAUGCUGUACUGAGUGACAUCCUCAAUUUAAAUGGAAAUUCUAUCAAUAACCAACAUGCUAUCUCUCCUCGCCUAGGAAAGGGCUUAGAAAUAUCAUUCAGAAGUACAAAAAAAGCCACUGCUUGAACCCGUUGGUACCAGAGCAGGUACUGUCCUCUCAGAAAGGCCAAUUGUAGAUAUGAGCUGCCCAUUUGUUUGCAGCCAAGAGAGCGUAAAUUAUCUGCCUGAAAUCCGAGUUCAGUAAUCAAGGCUGAAAAUGAAACGUAGGUGGGAGGAAAUAGGAAUCUCGUUAGGUGGUGACCACUGCCACGUCUUCCAGCAGCACUGAAAGGUGUUGGCUGAAUACAGGAGCCAAUGUGGGGACAAAGAGGCAGAAACUGGAGCUACUAGAGCAAGAAUGAACAGGAGGCAGGUAGGAGCAGCGUUACCUCUGACCACAGCAAGUUUGGGAGAUGUUUUUGCCAUGAAAGAGGGAGGUUUAAGAGACAGUGCCACAGGUAUGAGGAGGUUGAGGUGUAUAAAGAGGCUCAGUGUGUGCUCAGGUCCCAUCUAACACCCCCUCCUUCCCUGCAGCCUUUUCAUCCUGUUACUUUUGCCUCUGUUUCUCACAGUUCGUCCAUUCUAUGCCAGACCUGACUGUACUCUCCCCAGGUCAGACAUCUUCCUGUAUCAGUGUAACGCUAUGGAAGCCCUGAAAGCCAUCCCCUAAGAAUAACUAGUAAUGCAAAAUGAAUCAGAAGUUGACAGGCAGUCAAGCGAAGAUGAGUGGCUUCUUUGCCAUCCACGUCUCUAAGAAUACUUGGUGAGAAGUUUCCAUUUGCUGCAGCUGGUGUCUGCACAGCUUUGGUUUUUCUCUUCCUAACUGGUCAACCCCAGCACCUUCCUCAGAACAGACUCAAGCAGAGCCUUUCCCAUCAUGUUGUGUGCCAACAGCCACAGCGCAGCAAGCCCAGGGAGCAAGGUUAGAGCUUGUAGGAGCAUCCCCAGUGCCAACUCAUGCCCUUGCUAAGGACUGCAGUCAACACAGAUUCAACAAAUAAAUAAACAUUUGUAAUAGGUCUGGUGCCUGACCUCAUCCCAACGGUGAUCACUAAGAGAAUCAUUGACCUGACCGUUUGCUGCUAGAGAAGUUUGGAAAUGCCAGGUUCAUUACAGUCCUGCUUAUUGCCAGGAAGCAUUACUGCUUUGUGCUUGCAGCAGCUUUAAAGGUGGAUGAAAACUAUAACGCCGGGUCAGCCCAGAUGCACACCAAAUGCAUCAUCCCAGCCUUGUUGGAAAAGGAUAUUACAAUGGCCCAGUACCCUGUUUGCACUGAUGUCCCCACGGAGAGAACACAGUGAGCUGGCUGGGAGAAGAAAAUGAACAGUUCUAUUUAUGCAGCAAGUAAAUGAUCACAGAGCAAGCAUUAGUGCCCAUUGCCCUGAAGGACAGAGAGCUGUAUAUGGCCCUUCAGGACAGAAUUCACAGCCAUGAAGAAGAGGCAGAAGAAGUCUGUCUGAUUCUUCCCAGGUGCAGCUCGGUGCCAAGAGCUCCCAUCUUCCCUCAGCACGUGUUCCUGUGUGAGUCUUUCAAGUCUGGAUAUGGGAGUGAUGUUGUGUACAAGCCUUGGCUCGGUUUCUGCAAAAGCUCAUUCUGAAAAGAAGGGGUUUAUAUAUAUCCUCCCAUCUCUCCUCCUGUUACACAAACGUACUCUCUCAGCUCAGAUAAUUAAAAAUACUCACACAUCCCCAAAGCAGAGCAGCUCAGGUGUGACCAAAUGUGCCCGUUCCCGCAUUUCACCCUUUGAGAGCUUCACAAAUCAAAGAGAAUCACUUUCAGACAGUGAUGAAUUGCUUAUGCUCUCAUUUGUUUGCUUGAAGUUCUCCUUUAACAAAAUGUGAAUGUCUUUGUUGGCUGUGAAAGUGUGGGGGAGGUGCUCCAGCCCUCUUGAGGUGUGAGGAGCAAGCUGGCACCCAUCUCCAUCCCCAUAAUGCUGCACUGGGGGGGUACAUAGCCACACUCUAGGCUGUGUGGGUAUGGAGCUUUGUCACAACACUUCAUCCCAGCUUGGCUGGAUCCCUUUUCCUUUUUAAACCCCAACCACUUUGUUCCUGAUCUGACCUGCCUCGUCUCUCUGUCUCUGCCUUUCUCUGUGACGGCUGCUGCUUGUGAUCUGCUUUUACAUGGACCUAAAUCUGGAUUGAUGAUCUGCCCCUUCCUCUGAAGAGCUGUAUCACAGUGAUGACAUUUCAGAGUCAGUAUAUCACUGCACACAGACUUGCUGAAGCACUUCCCCAGCUCCCAUCCCUCCUAACAAUGCAUUACUUAAGAAAAUUAAAGCUGAAGGAUGUAUGUGACCAUCCUUCUGAUUCAGGGGGUCGUGCACCAGAGACGUUGCUGGAAUAAGGAAGGGCAGCAUUGCCUUUGCUCAGAUCCUUCUGGCAGCACUUAUCAAUUAUUUGGGUCCACAUUAUGAAGCAAAGGCUCCAUGCCACGACACUGGUUGUUGCUGACAGCUGGAAUCUCAGGUCCCCUUGAUCAUGUAGACUUUGCUGCUGGGGACAAGUAGGAGUUUCCUCCUGUCCUUUACUGGAGAAAGGUUUCCUUAGCCAGGUUCACCCAGGGCUGCUCCUCCUGCACAGCCAUCACACUGCAGAGUAAUGGGAGGGAGUGGGAGAUGGGAGAAGCUCUCCGAUGGCUCUGCAACAGGAGAUGCUCUGCUCCGCCUGCUCUGCAUUUAGCUGCCUGCUGAGCUGCCUCCCAGUAAGAAACAGUCAGGGAGGGGAGAGCAGAGGGCACCCAGGUGCUUGUGCAGCAAUAACUUAUUUAUUUAGAAAUCAGCAGUGUGUGUUUGCUCUGCAGUACCUCUGAACACACUGGGGGUGAGGAGAGUUGGAGAGAGGAGAAAAUGGCAUAUCUCAAUCCACUUUAACUCUUCCCUCUCUUCUUUCAGACACAAGGGUGAAAUGCUUUGGACUCAAUAUGCAACGUGUCACAUGAUGGUCUGGGAAAUGGAUACGGACAUAAGAGAAUUGGCUGUGCAGCGCUCAGAGCCCAACCAAACAGAGAUUAACUGCAUUCCUGGCUGCAGGCUCACCCCAAAUCCAUGCUGCAGUUCCACACUGUAGGGGCUAGAAGGCAAACACAAGAGAGAAUGAGUGAAA